This is a long non-coding RNA of Mus musculus (house mouse), 685 nucleotides long. RefSeq annotates it as predicted gene, 32427. The record is from RefSeq and is a predicted model, not a curated record. The transcript is spliced from 3 exons. Lineage: Eukaryota; Metazoa; Chordata; Mammalia; Rodentia; Muridae.
AGGAUAGCUAUACAAGGAGAGGGCAAGGGAUAGCCUCACAGAGAGAUCCCAAUUCCCUGGUCUCCUCUGCCAGCCACUUCUUUCCCACAGAGAAACUUCAGGCCCACUGAGAUCCAUCUCCUGGCUUCUCCUCUGCCCACAAGCAUGCAGUCCCCUUCAUCCCCCUGCCUCACACAGAUUCAUCAAGCCUCCCCAGAGAGUUUUUAAGGAGGCUUGGCAGGACAGUUCCAUCCAGGAAGCCUGAUCUGGAGGACAGUGGGCAACCCCUAGUCACUGCACACCCUCCGUCUCCUGCACUCCUUCAGUUCACCAUUAGCACCAUGGCAGCACAGAAGAGCUUCUUGCAAAUGGAAUGGAAGGUGCUUGAGGCUGCAGCCACCUGAGGGGCUCAAUGCUGAAGCACAGAGAGCUCAGCUUGGCUCCUUUGGGAACAUGGAUCCUUCUAUUAAGCAAUAACUUCAGUCUUGGCCAUCUGUGCCCAGACCUGCUUUGGGCUUUAGUGUCCUGACACCUUUCCUUGUUUCUGUCCCCUGAGGAUUUCUCUCAUUUUCUAGAAAAGCCAGUCCUUUGCUGCUCUGUGGCUUACUGCUUCUGUCUGAGAAGAAUCUCUAAACCUUUUCCUUCUUCCCUCCACCCUGCUAAAUUAUUAAGUUUGAUGUCAUAAUACAAGGGACCAGCACUCUGC